Molecule: transfer RNA, 73 nt
Filed under: Streptomyces xanthochromogenes
Lineage: Bacteria; Bacillati; Actinomycetota; Actinomycetes; Kitasatosporales; Streptomycetaceae
Description: tRNA-Glu
Source: RNAcentral
GGACCGCGCUGCCCGAGUGGACGGGGCUCGCGCUCGGCGAGCGGCUGCGGCGUUCCUUCCGCUGCCCGGUCCU